AUCACCUGGAUAUCUUGUUAAAAUGCAGAUUCUGAUGCACUAUGUCCAGAGUGGGGCCUGAGAUUCUGUACUUCUAACAAGCUCCCAAGUGAUAAUGA
RNAcentral lists this microRNA precursor (98 nucleotides) under Pteropus alecto (black flying fox). RNAcentral's name for it is "mir-544 microRNA precursor family". It matches the Rfam family "mir-544 microRNA precursor family". RNAcentral also lists the same sequence under 1 other name. Lineage: Eukaryota; Metazoa; Chordata; Mammalia; Chiroptera; Pteropodidae. The record is from Rfam by way of RNAcentral.